Molecule: long non-coding RNA, 160 nt
Organism: Silurus meridionalis
Lineage: Eukaryota; Metazoa; Chordata; Actinopteri; Siluriformes; Siluridae
Exons: 3
Source: RefSeq, a predicted model, not a curated record
AGUCAUUCUGAAGAAUGCAUGCAUCUGAUCCGUUGGUGUUUGUGCACCAAACCAGCAGGCCGUCCGAGCCUGGAGCAGAUAGAGCAUCACCCAUGGUUUCACUUAAAAGGAUCUGCACUACAAACUACUGGAUAGACACCUGCAAUCAAAUACAUCUGAA